Molecule: ribosomal RNA, 253 nt
Filed under: uncultured bacterium
Lineage: Bacteria
Description: partial 16S ribosomal RNA
Rfam family: Bacterial small subunit ribosomal RNA
Source: RNAcentral
UACGUAGGGGGCAAGCGUUAUCCGGAUUCACUAGGCGUAAAGGGAGCGCAGGCGGCACGGCAAGUCUGGUGUGAAAGCCCGGGGCCCAACCCCGGGACUGCAUUGGAAACUGCCGGGCUGGAGUGCCGGAGGGGUAAGCGGAAUUCCUGGUGUAGCGGUGAAAUGCGCAGAUAUCAGGAAGAACACCGGUGGCGUAGGCGGCUUACUGGACGGCAACUGACGCUGAGGCUCGAAAGCGUGGGGAGCAAACAGG